AGAGUUUGAUCAUGGCUCAGAUUGAACGCUGGCGGCAUGCCUUACACAUGCAAGUCGAACGGCAGCAUAGGUGCUUGCACCUGAUGGCGAGUGGCGAACGGGUGAGUAAUGUAUCGGAACGUGCCCAGUCGUGGGGGAUAACGCAGCGAAAGCUGUGCUAAUACCGCAUACGAUCUAUGGAUGAAAGCGGGGGAUCGCAAGACCUCGCGCGAUUGGAGCGGCCGAUAUCAGAUUAGGUAGUUGGUGGGGUAAAGGCCCACCAAGCCUACGAUCUGUAGCUGGUUUGAGAGGACGACCAGCCACACUGGAACUGAGACACGGUCCAGACUCCUACGGGAGGCAGCAGUGGGGAAUUUUGGACAAUGGGCGCAAGCCUGAUCCAGCAAUGCCGCGUGCAGGAUGAAGGCCUUCGGGUUGUAAACUGCUUUUGUACGGAACGAAACGGCGAGCUCUAAUACAGUUUGCUAAUGACGGUACCGUAAGAAUAAGCACCGGCUAACUACGUGCCAGCAGCCGCGGUAAU
RNAcentral lists this ribosomal RNA (523 nucleotides) under uncultured bacterium. Its description in RNAcentral is "bacterial SSU rRNA". It matches the Rfam family "Bacterial small subunit ribosomal RNA", at positions 8 to 524 of the family's 1533-position model. The record is from RNAcentral.